GGCUCAAUGGUCUAGGUAUGUUUUCCUGCUGCACCAUCCAUUCCGACACGCUGACCAUAAACAAGUGGUAUGAUUGAUGCUUUGGGUCACGUGCCACAAAUGUAUCAGGUCCCGUGUUCAAUCCACGGUUGAGCCC
RNAcentral lists this transfer RNA (136 nucleotides) under Gomphillus americanus. Its description in RNAcentral is "tRNA-Pro". Lineage: Eukaryota; Fungi; Ascomycota; Lecanoromycetes; Ostropales; Graphidaceae. The record is from RNAcentral.